AAGGACGCUGGCGGCGUGCUAACACAUGCAAGUCGAACGCGAAAGUUUCUUCGGAAAUGAGUAGAGUGGCGCACGGGUGAGUAACGCGUGGAUUAUCUACCUAUUGGUACGGGACAACAGUUGGAAACGACUGCUAAUACCGUAUAAGCUGGUAACGGGAAAGGGGGCCUCUUCUUGAAAGCUCUCGCCAGUAGAUGAGUCCGCGUUUCAUUAGCUAGACGGUGGGGUAACGGCCUACCGUGGCAACGAUGAAUAGCAGGCCUGAGAGGGUGGCCUGCCACACUGGGACUGGAACACGGCCCAGACUCCUACGGGAGGCAGCAGUGGGGAAUAUUGCGCAAUGGACGAAAGUCUGACGCAGCGACGCCGCGUGGAGGAUGAAGGUUUUCGGAUCGUAAACUCCUGUCAAGAGGGAAGAAACCUGUUGAGAAUAAUACUUUCAGCAAUUGACGGUACCUCUAGAGGAAGCACCGGCUAAUUCAGUGCCAGCAGCCGCGGUAAUACUGAAGGUGCAAGCGUUAAUCGGAAUCACUGGGCGUAAAGCGCUCGUAGGUGGCUUUGUAAGUCAGGUGUGAAAGCCCACGGCUCAACCGUGGAAUUGCACUUGAUACUGCAUCGCUAGAGUAUAGGAGAGGGAAGUGGAAUUUCUGGUGUAGGAGUGAAAUCCGUAGAGAUCAGAAGGAACGCCCGUGGCGAAGGCGACUUCCUGGACUAUUACUGACACUGAGGAGCGAAAGCGUGGGGAGCAAACAGGAUUAGAUACCCUGGUAGUCCACGCCGUAAACGAUGGGUACUAGGUGUCGGGGGCUUGACCUUCGGUGCCGUAGUUAACGCGUUAAGUACCCCGCCUGGGGAGUACGGUCGCAAGGCUGAACUCAAUGAAUUGACGGAAGGGC
This 896-nucleotide ribosomal RNA is filed under the name uncultured bacterium. Its description in RNAcentral is "bacterial SSU rRNA". It matches the Rfam family "Bacterial small subunit ribosomal RNA", at positions 29 to 922 of the family's 1533-position model. The record is from RNAcentral.